RNAcentral lists this ribosomal RNA (1858 nucleotides) under Escherichia coli. RNAcentral's name for it is "partial 23S ribosomal RNA". It matches the Rfam family "Bacterial large subunit ribosomal RNA", at positions 361 to 2207 of the family's 2925-position model. The record is from RNAcentral. Lineage: Bacteria; Pseudomonadati; Pseudomonadota; Gammaproteobacteria; Enterobacterales; Enterobacteriaceae.
AGGGUGACAGCCCCGUACACAAAAAUGCACAUGCUGUGAGCUCGAUGAGUAGGGCGGGACACGUGGUAUCCUGUCUGAAUAUGGGGGGACCAUCCUCCAAGGCUAAAUACUCCUGACUGACCGAUAGUGAACCAGUACCGUGAGGGAAAGGCGAAAAGAACCCCGGCGAGGGGAGUGAAAAAGAACCUGAAACCGUGUACGUACAAGCAGUGGGAGCACGCUUAGGCGUGUGACUGCGUACCUUUUGUAUAAUGGGUCAGCGACUUAUAUUCUGUAGCAAGGUUAACCGAAUAGGGGAGCCGAAGGGAAACCGAGUCUUAACUGGGCGUUAAGUUGCAGGGUAUAGACCCGAAACCCGGUGAUCUAGCCAUGGGCAGGUUGAAGGUUGGGUAACACUAACUGGAGGACCGAACCGACUAAUGUUGAAAAAUUAGCGGAUGACUUGUGGCUGGGGGUGAAAGGCCAAUCAAACCGGGAGAUAGCUGGUUCUCCCCGAAAGCUAUUUAGGUAGCGCCUCGUGAAUUCAUCUCCGGGGGUAGAGCACUGUUUCGGCAAGGGGGUCAUCCCGACUUACCAACCCGAUGCAAACUGCGAAUACCGGAGAAUGUUAUCACGGGAGACACACGGCGGGUGCUAACGUCCGUCGUGAAGAGGGAAACAACCCAGACCGCCAGCUAAGGUCCCAAAGUCAUGGUUAAGUGGGAAACGAUGUGGGAAGGCCCAGACAGCCAGGAUGUUGGCUUAGAAGCAGCCAUCAUUUAAAGAAAGCGUAAUAGCUCACUGGUCGAGUCGGCCUGCGCGGAAGAUGUAACGGGGCUAAACCAUGCACCGAAGCUGCGGCAGCGACGCUUAUGCGUUGUUGGGUAGGGGAGCGUUCUGUAAGCCUGUGAAGGUGUGCUGUGAGGCAUGCUGGAGGUAUCAGAAGUGCGAAUGCUGACAUAAGUAACGAUAAAGCGGGUGAAAAGCCCGCUCGCCGGAAGACCAAGGGUUCCUGUCCAACGUUAAUCGGGGCAGGGUGAGUCGACCCCUAAGGCGAGGCCGAAAGGCGUAGUCGAUGGGAAACAGGUUAAUAUUCCUGUACUUGGUGUUACUGCGAAGGGGGGACGGAGAAGGCUAUGUUGGCCGGGCGACGGUUGUCCCGGUUUAAGCGUGUAGGCUGGUUUUCCAGGCAAAUCCGGAAAAUCAAGGCUGAGGCGUGAUGACGAGGCACUACGGUGCUGAAGCAACAAAUGCCCUGCUUCCAGGAAAAGCCUCUAAGCAUCAGGUAACAUCAAAUCGUACCCCAAACCGACACAGGUGGUCAGGUAGAGAAUACCAAGGCGCUUGAGAGAACUCGGGUGAAGGAACUAGGCAAAAUGGUGCCGUAACUUCGGGAGAAGGCACGCUGAUAUGUAGGUGAAGCGACUUGCUCGUGGAGCUGAAAUCAGUCGAAGAUACCAGCUGGCUGCAACUGUUUAUUAAAAACACAGCACUGUGCAAACACGAAAGUGGACGUAUACGGUGUGACGCCUGCCCGGUGCCGGAAGGUUAAUUGAUGGGGUCAGCGCAAGCGAAGCUCUUGAUCGAAGCCCCGGUAAACGGCGGCCGUAACUAUAACGGUCCUAAGGUAGCGAAAUUCCUUGUCGGGUAAGUUCCGACCUGCACGAAUGGCGUAAUGAUGGCCAGGCUGUCUCCACCCGAGACUCAGUGAAAUUGAACUCGCUGUGAAGAUGCAGUGUACCCGCGGCAAGACGGAAAGACCCCGUGAACCUUUACUAUAGCUUGACACUGAACAUUGAGCCUUGAUGUGUAGGAUAGGUGGGAGGCUUUGAAGUGUGGACGCCAGUCUGCAUGGAGCCGACCUUGAAAUACCACCCUU